Molecule: long non-coding RNA, 2161 nt
Organism: Numida meleagris (helmeted guineafowl)
Lineage: Eukaryota; Metazoa; Chordata; Aves; Galliformes; Numididae
Exons: 3
Source: RefSeq, a predicted model, not a curated record
GAUAAAAUCUGCAUCAACGGCAGAGCAGCUUUUACCCUCUGCAUGGUGAGUGGUUUUAUUGGUUUUGCAUUUAAAACUGUCCUAGUACAUCUGUGCUUUCAGCGCAAGCCCAGCAUCCUCAUACACUUGCAAAGCUGAGAGCUCACCUCCUUGCUGCCCUCAGCCCACACUCGGCCCAUAGGGUGGACAUAUAGGGUUUAGCACAUGCUGGGGCUGUUCUCCCAUGGAAAUGGAUGGCUGUGUCAGCUCUGGAGGCACAACACACUUGAGUGCAGCCAUAAGCCACCAUGCCUCACCCCAGGCUCCAGCCCACUGUAGUUAAUCAUUAAAUAAUUCCCCUGGUGAUGUUAUCCAGUGCUGAUAAAUUACAGAUUUCAUUGUUUUGCCUGGAGCAGCUUUAAAUUGUGUUAAUUUCAUCAAAGAUUGACACUGGCUUUUAUUUCCUUUUGCUGCUGUUUUGUCCUGCAAAGGAGAUGCACACUAUAGACUUUAGAUUGCCCACGUAAUGGGCACAAUAUAUUUUUUCACAUAUUUAGAGAAAAUUGUAAUCAGAGCCUUUUAAAUAUGAAGAACUUUUGGAUCAAUAAAAUACUAAUGAUAGCGUAUUCAAAGAGGAAUAUUACCACAAAUUCAACAGCUUUUAAAACAACCUUAUUGUUGACCAUAUUUAUUUUACAUGUGAUCUCAGAAUGCUUUCUAAUUUUAUACAGUGGUGAAUUUAUUCCACCUACAACACACGUUUCUGACACAGGGUUUUCUCAAAAAGUGAAGAUGAAAUACAUUAUACAUCUUCCUGAUGAGCCAAACCAUCAUCAGUCUGAUUCUCUCUUUUGGCAACAGAAAGAAAUUUCCCCAGGUAGUUCUAUUCUGCUCACUCCAAAGAAAAGGGCAAUCUUGAGUUCAUGGGAUUUUGAUCAGACCCUUCAUGGCAAAUUCUGCUCAUUUUGGAACAAGGAGCAUAAUGGUUCAGUGUGUGUUGAAUAAUAAUACAUGUUGAUAAAACACAUGCAAAAAUUUGGAGCUUUGAUUUUCAAUUGCAAAAUUGAUAUCAAAUAUUUUCGGUACCAGCAGCACUUUGAUGCAGCACAGUAGUCUGUUGUGGUAAAUAAAAAAAUGUUUUUAUCGUGCAGUACUGCAUCUCCCCAAGCAGUUCUGAAUUCUACUGGGAAAUAUUGAAUAAAACUUCAAACCUUGACUGAGGCCCCGUGUCACUGUUGGUGUUUUUAAGAGGUCUCUUUCAACACUUUCCCAGAGUACCUGGGGUCUUUCUUGUUGCAGACUUUUUAUUAUUAUUUUUUUAACAUGUAGCAUAAUACAGUCUAAACCACUGCUUUGCUGUAAAUGUGCACAGAUGUUUAUUAUUUCAUGAGCUGUGUCAGGUGCCUGGAGGCAUUGAUAGCCCUCAACGACCCUGACCAGCCUCACCUGGGGCCUCCCACCCCCAGCGAUGGGCCCAGGAGCUCUAUUCAACUUCAGCCCAGGCCCACCUGUCCCUCUAGUUAAUGCUGUAGGAGUAUUGGUUCUCUGGUUGGUUACAGCUGUGGUGAUGUGUGGACCCUAGCUCAUUUGUAGGUCUCCUGGCUGAGCUGCAGAGUUGUCCUGUUGCUAUGGGUGUGUCUGGCAAUCUCUGGACUCUUUCUCAUUGUGAUCUUAUGCAGUUGGUUGACUACUCAUCUUGACUUCAGACCUGUGCCAUCUUGUGAGGUGUUCUGAUAACUGGGGCUUGUGGUUGAAGCUGGCUCAAUUCCUAGAGCUGCACUGCUCUCCUGGCCUGGUACCAUGGAUGGGAUGGGACUGUCCUGCUGGCCCUGGGGCUGCCCUCAGCUCCUGCGUCUCCAUCCUGCUGGGAGAAGAUAUGGAUUAGCUAAGGUGGAUGCCAGAAGAACUCCCAGCUGCAGAGGUUGUUGCUGGCAUUUGGGCAGACCCACAAAGCUGCAAACAGUCGGUGUGCGCCUUAAAUUCAGUGACUCCUUUGAAGUGAAACCCCAGCAAGCUCCAUGGUGAUUUGUAGAGGAUGCCUGGGUCUGUCUUCUCCUUUUGGUGAUCCUGAGCCAGUCUUUGUGUCCGGACCAUGGGAACACAUCAUGAACAAGCCCUCAAGAUCUUACAGGUCAUGACAUACUCUGUAAAGCCAUUGUACACUCAAAGAAAAAAAGUGCCA